RNAcentral lists this transfer RNA (767 nucleotides) under Bradyrhizobium genosp. TUXTLAS-8. RNAcentral describes it as "partial 16S-23S ribosomal RNA intergenic spacer". The stretch from base 182 to 255 matches the Rfam family "tRNA". Lineage: Bacteria; Pseudomonadati; Pseudomonadota; Alphaproteobacteria; Hyphomicrobiales; Nitrobacteraceae. The record is from RNAcentral.
CUUCAGCGAGCCUCAAGCUCACUAUCGGAUCGUUUUAGAAACAUCAGUGGCCAACAGAUCGCCAGAUCGUUGAGCUGCAUUGGCGGGAUUUCGCCGUCUUCGUUUCUCUUUCUUCGCGGACGAACACGCGCUGGGGCUGCAAGCUUGCAGAAUCCCUGGUCCUUAACAGGAUAUGCGUUAGGGGCUUGUAGCUCAGUUGGUUAGAGCGCGCGCUUGAUAAGCGUGAGGUCGGAAGUUCAAGUCUUCCCAGGCCCACCACUUUCAUCGAGUGAGCAUUCGUCUUCUGGUUACGGGGCCAUAGCUCAGCUGGGAGAGCGCGUGCUUUGCAAGCAUGAGGUCGUCGGUUCGAUCCCGUCUGGCUCCACCAGAUGGUUUGAUCACCGAGGUCAUGCACCGUCGUCCGCGAAACAUCACUUCGCAUCUUGCUAGUCUGGAUAGACAGCAAGUUGCGUGAUUUCUGACAUCGUAAAGAGGAGAUCGAUCCGAGUUGGGUCGUGCAGCAAAUUGUUGCGCGAGCCUUCAUUAUCUCCGGAUCAUUUUCGGCGCUCGACGCUGACCGCAAGGUUGGCUCUCGAGUUGUAAAAUGAUCCUUUUAGCGAAGCUUGACCGCCUCGCUAUCGGAACGAUCUUACGAAGCAAGCUGGUCUUUCUAGUCAAUGUCCGGCUGUACGUAGCGUUCAUCGAGGGCGCGUGCCUUAGAGACUUCGGUUUCUUGGCAAUCGUACAGACAACAUUCUGCCGAGUGUGUGGACAUUGAUAAUGAGAGC